This 497-nucleotide ribosomal RNA is filed under the name uncultured bacterium. Its description in RNAcentral is "partial 16S ribosomal RNA". It matches the Rfam family "Bacterial small subunit ribosomal RNA", at positions 28 to 507 of the family's 1533-position model. The record is from RNAcentral.
GAUGAACGCUGGCGGCGUGCCUAAUACAUGCAAGUCGAGCGAACAGACGAGGAGCUUGCUCCUCUGACGUUAGCGGCGGACGGGUGAGUAACACGUGGAUCACCUACUUAUCAGACUGGGAUCACUUCGGGAAACCGGAGCUAACACCGGAUAAUAUAUUGCACCGUAUGGUUCAAUAGUGAAAGACGGUUUUGCUGUCACUUAUAGCUGGAUCCGCGCCGCAUUAGCUAGUUGGUAAGGUCACGGCUUACCACGGCAACGAGGCGUAGCCGACCUGAGAGGGGGGUCGGCCACACGGGAAGUUAGACACGGUCCAGAGUACUACGGGAGGCAGCAGUAGGGAACCGUCGGCAGUGGGCGAAAGCCUGGCGGAACAACGCCGCGUGAGAGACGAAGGUCUUCCGAUCGUAAAACUGGGUUAUUAGGUAAGAACAAAUGUGUAAGUAACUAUGCACGUCGUGACGGUACCUGGUCAGAAAGCCACGGCUAACUACGUG